AUACCUUUCUCGGCCUUUUGGCUAAGAUCAAGUGUAGUAUCUGUUCUUAUCAGUUUAAUAUCUGAUAUGUGAGUCAUUGACUCACACGAUAUUAACUCUAUUUUUUUUAAGGGGAAGGUCCAUCACGAUAGCUUGCUAUUGGGACUUUCAAGUGUCGCCUUGGUGUUGCACUAUUGCCUUGGCCUGGCACACCCCAC
Molecule: small nuclear RNA, 197 nt
Filed under: Solanum tuberosum (potato)
Lineage: Eukaryota; Viridiplantae; Streptophyta; Magnoliopsida; Solanales; Solanaceae
Description: snRNA U2
Rfam family: U2 spliceosomal RNA
About the family: U2 is a small nuclear RNA (snRNA) component of the spliceosome (involved in pre-mRNA splicing). Complementary binding between U2 snRNA (in an area lying towards the 5' end but 3' to hairpin I) and the branchpoint sequence (BPS) of the intron results the bulging out of an unpaired adenosine, on the BPS, which initiates a nucleophilic attack at the intronic 5' splice site, thus starting the first of two transesterification reactions that mediate splicing.
Source: Rfam by way of RNAcentral